This 423-nucleotide ribosomal RNA is filed under the name Actinomycetales bacterium. RNAcentral describes it as "bacterial SSU rRNA". It matches the Rfam family "Bacterial small subunit ribosomal RNA", at positions 58 to 495 of the family's 1533-position model. Lineage: Bacteria; Bacillati; Actinomycetota; Actinomycetes; Actinomycetales. The record is from RNAcentral.
CAAGUCGAACGGAAAGGCUCCUUCGGGGGUACUCGAGUGGCGAACGGGUGAGUAACACGUGGGUGAUCUGCCCUGGACUUCGGGAUAAGCCUGGGAAACUGGGUCUAAUACCGGAUAUUCAUCUCCUGUUUCAUGGUGGGGGGUGGAAAGCUUUUGCGGUUCAGGAUGGGCCCGCGGCCUAUCAGCUUGUUGGUGCGGUAAUGGCGUACCAAGGCGACGACGGGUAGCCGACCUGAGAGGGUGAUCGGCCACACUGGGACUGAGACACGGCCCAGACUCCUACGGGAGGCAGCAGUGGGGAAUAUUGCACAAUGGGCGCAAGCCUGAUGCAGCGACGCCGCGUGGGGGAUGACGGCCUUCGGGUUGUAAACUCCUUUCGCCAGGGACGAAGCGCAAGUGACGGUACCUGGAGAAGAAGCACCG